GGAGGCGUUCAGGCGGCUGGUGCCCCUCCCAGUCUUCAAAACUGGUGUGACCCGGCAUCCGGGUCAGGCGGGUUCGAUUCCCGUCCGCCUCCG
RNAcentral lists this transfer RNA (93 nucleotides) under Paractinoplanes deccanensis. RNAcentral describes it as "tRNA-Sec". It matches the Rfam family "Selenocysteine transfer RNA". Lineage: Bacteria; Bacillati; Actinomycetota; Actinomycetes; Micromonosporales; Micromonosporaceae. The record is from RNAcentral.